GAAAGGGCAAAAUCAUUGAAAGGUGAUGACGCAAAGCUAGAGGGGCUACUGUCAUUUGACUACGCCAGCCAGUUUCCGA
Molecule: non-coding RNA, 79 nt
Filed under: uncultured Ferdinandcohnia sp.
Lineage: Bacteria; Bacillati; Bacillota; Bacilli; Caryophanales; Bacillaceae
Description: Cyclic di-GMP-I riboswitch
Rfam family: c-di-GMP-I riboswitch aptamer
About the family: GEMM was predicted in a large-scale screen for bacterial structured RNA regulatory elements. Genes associated with GEMM are involved in a diverse array of functions, including chemotaxis regulation, signal transduction, secretion and chitin.
Source: RNAcentral